RNAcentral lists this ribosomal RNA (429 nucleotides) under bacterium. RNAcentral describes it as "partial 16S ribosomal RNA". It matches the Rfam family "Bacterial small subunit ribosomal RNA", at positions 355 to 776 of the family's 1533-position model. The record is from RNAcentral.
UAGGGAAUCUUCGGCAAUGGGGGCAACCCUGACCGAGCAACGCCGCGUGAGUGAAGAAGGUUUUCGGAUCGUAAAGCUCUGUUGUAAGAGAAGAACGUGUGUGAGAGUGGAAAGUUCACACAUUGACGGUAACUUACCAGAAAGGGACGGCUAACUACGUGCCAGCAGCCGCGGUAAUACGUAGGUCCCGAGCGUUGUCCGGAUUUAUUGGGCGUAAAGCGAGCGCAGGCGGUUUAAUAAGUCUGAAGUUAAAGGCAGUGGCUUAACCAUUGUUCGCUUUGGAAACUGUUAAACUUGAGUGCAGAAGGGGAGAGUGGAAUUCCAUGUGUAGCGGUGAAAUGCGUAGAUAUAUGGAGGAACACCGGUGGCGAAAGCGGCUCUCUGGUCUGUAACUGACGCUGAGGCUCGAAAGCGUGGGGAGCAAACAGG